GACGAACGCUGGCGGCGCGCCUAACACAUGCCAGUCGAACGGAGCUGCGAGAAGCUUGCUUUUCUUAGCUUAGUGGCGAACGGGUGAGUAACGCGUGAGUAACCUGCCCUGGAGUGGGGGACAACAGUUGGAAACGACUGCUAAUACCGCAUAAGCCCACGAUCCGGCAUCGGAUUGAGGGAAAAGGAUUUAUUCGCUUCAGGAUGGACUCGCGUCCAAUUAGCUAGUUGGUGAGGUAACGGCCCACCAAGGCGACGAUUGGUAGCCGGACUGAGAGGUUGAACGGCCACAUUGGGACUGAGACACGGCCCAGACUCCUACGGGAGGCAGCAGUGGGGGAUAUUGCACAAUGGGGGAAACCCUGAUGCAGCGACGCCGCGUGGAGGAAGAAGGUUUUCGGAUUGUAAACUCCUGUCGUGAGGGACGAUAAUGACGGUACCUAACAAGAAAGCACCGGCUAACUACGUG
RNAcentral lists this ribosomal RNA (468 nucleotides) under uncultured bacterium. RNAcentral's name for it is "partial 16S ribosomal RNA". It matches the Rfam family "Bacterial small subunit ribosomal RNA", at positions 28 to 507 of the family's 1533-position model. The record is from RNAcentral.